Molecule: long non-coding RNA, 763 nt
Organism: Pogoniulus pusillus (Red-fronted tinkerbird)
Lineage: Eukaryota; Metazoa; Chordata; Aves; Piciformes; Lybiidae
Exons: 3
Source: RefSeq, a predicted model, not a curated record
UCAACUCCCCUUUCUCUCUCUGGAGCAGCUCUGGGGCAGCCGUUUUGCUGUUUCUCUGCUGGUUAUGUUGUUGUUGUGCUAUCUUCAGACAGUGCACAUGUGCUCAGCCAAAUUUACGCACCAGUGCAGCCUCCUCCCCCAUCCUGAAAGCCUGGAAGAAAUUGCUCCAUAUCUCUUCUGCAAAAGGCACUGUGGAGAGUUGCAGAAGGGCAGGAACUCCAGAAAGCCGAGAUAAGAGCCCUACCCUUUCCUUGGUGAGACAAGCAUGCCAUGGAUUAUGGAGAGGGACUCAAGGAACAACCACGAGGACUCAGAUGAGUCUUUUCAGCAGUUCACAAAAAAGCCCCAUCUCAUGUCUUCCCUGUUUUGAAAGGGAGGAGUACAAGAGCUAUGAUGUGAAAUGAGCAGCGAUGUUGGAGGUAAUCAGAGUCUCAGUCAUUGAGAUACCUGCCCACGCCCAGAACUACGGCCAUAAACUGCUUACUACAGCCAAUGCUGUAAAAAUUCCUUCCUGCAUGCCCUAGACACAGGUUGGUUUUGUAUAUGCUGAAGACUCACUGGGUGAUGACAUAUUUCCUCUUUGGGUUGACUCAUGAGCUGUUGCUCCUGGUUGCUGUGAAAGUUGGAAGCGCUUUCACACUACCUGCUGCAAGUACAUCGCAUGAAAUGAGGGAAAGGUCUGUUAUUUCCAGGUUUGAUUACUUGACUCUUGCUUUUGCAGUUGCUGAGCUUUGCUACUUUGACAUUUAUUAAACAGCUUAUU